RNAcentral lists this transfer RNA (84 nucleotides) under Echinostoma caproni. It matches the Rfam family "tRNA". From Rfam's summary of the family: Transfer RNA (tRNA) molecules are approximately 80 nucleotides in length. Their secondary structure includes four short double-helical elements and three loops (D, anti-codon, and T loops). Further hydrogen bonds mediate the characteristic L-shaped molecular structure. tRNAs have two regions of fundamental functional importance: the anti-codon, which is responsible for specific mRNA codon recognition, and the 3' end, to which the tRNAs corresponding amino acid is attached (by aminoacyl-tRNA synthetases). tRNAs cope with the degeneracy of the genetic code in two manners: having more than one tRNA (with a specific anti-codon) for a particular amino acid; and 'wobble' base-pairing, i.e. permitting non-standard base-pairing at the 3rd anti-codon position. The record is from Rfam by way of RNAcentral. Lineage: Eukaryota; Metazoa; Platyhelminthes; Trematoda; Plagiorchiida; Echinostomatidae.
GGCCUAGUAGCUCGGUUGGCAGAGCGUGUGCUGUACAAACGCGCAGGCGGUGUCUGUGCGUGGGUUCGAAUCCCAUCGAGUCCA